ACAGUGCAUUUUUCGGGAUGCAUGGGCAGUUCUUGAACGGCUUCUGGUUGCUCUUCACCCCAAAUGCGGCAAUUUUGCUUAUUUACGUAGCCAUUCAACCAGAAAUGAGCCUCAUCGCUGAACAAAACACGCGCGAAACACAUUUCGAACCGAACACUGAUUUUGGUAAUAAAAUUCAAUGAUUUGCAAGCGUUGCUCGUUAGUAAGUCUAUUCAUGAUGAAAUGUCAAAGCAUACUGAGCAUCUUUCUCUUUGACACCAUGUCUGAAAUCCCACGUGAUCUGUCAAAUACUAAUGCAUGAAAAUCCUAACCUCAAAAAAAUCACCCGUUACAAUUGUCUCGUUUGUUUUGCUUACAAAUAUAUUUACUCAUAUUAUUUUUACAUUUAGUGAUUGUUAUGAGUUUAUUAUUACAUUGUGCUAUCAAUGGGUCUAAUAUAAGUUUCCCAUGAUGAUAUUUUAGAGCAGUUAUGUCGUAGGUAUUACAUUGCUUUGAUAUGAUUGGGUAUUUAUAUAUAGUAAUGAAGGCGUUAUCUACCCUGACUAUAUGUAUUUCUGCGUAUUCUAAUAUAUCUAUAGCUGGAAGGGUUAUUUUUUCUGUAUUCAGGAUCUUUUCCACUUCUUCUAUAUUUAUUGCACCUGAAUAAAAAUUUUUCACCCCUAUCAUGCAUUUCGAUUACGUUCCCGCUCUACGCUCCGCCGGAGUCGAAAUUAGGUAUCAUGCGUUACGAUUGGAUUGAAAGAAGAAGAGGAAGAGCUAUAACUCUUUCGAAAUCAGCUGUUUGCUUUGAAAUAUGUGAAACUGGAACAUAACAAAGCAAAAAUACACAAAUUACUGCUGUUCAAAGAAAAUAGAUAAAAGUAAAAUUUUUAUAUUGUUAUUAUUUUUAUUAAACGUAACUAUGGAAUCUUUAUCCGCGGCGAUAUUACUGGUUGAGGAGGAGAGCAGCGCAUCUCAGAAUGCUGGGGUGAGAAUUGAAAGGAGAAGAUUACGAGAUAUGUGCGAUCCCUUCCAGAUGAAUGAAGGGCUAUUCAGAAAAACUUUCGUCUGAAUAAGGACGAAUGUCCUAGAUACGUUUGCGGAAGAAACGACGGCAAGUAAAUUUGAUGCUACCUCUUUCCAAAAAGCCUGCACAUCUUCCUUAGGACGCUGGUGGAAACCGUUGGCUAUAUCUAGCUUACUCUCCAUCAUAUCUGCCAAUUUUCCAUAUUGCUCUGGUGUUGUUGUU
This is a long non-coding RNA of Bactrocera dorsalis (oriental fruit fly), 1228 nucleotides long. RefSeq lists it as uncharacterized. Lineage: Eukaryota; Metazoa; Arthropoda; Insecta; Diptera; Tephritidae. The record is from RefSeq and is a predicted model, not a curated record. The transcript is spliced from 2 exons.